AAGGGAAGCUGAACUCCCCGACGGCUCUCACGCUAAACAAGCACUGGCCUUGAGAUAAGCAAUGCUGAAGCACUUGCAGCUCACCCAUUACCAUAAACUGACUGAGCCCUCCCUACACAAGCCAUAACUACAGCUUUGAUUGGACAAGAGACUGAUUUCAGUAACUUCCCCUUGAUAAGAGAGCACUGGCUGUGGACGGGUUCUGGACGUUUUACAGAGGCUGUGCACUUGACUGCCUUUGUGUCCCUGCUUCCCCUUUUGAAGCAUAGGGACUAAUUAUAAUGUAUUUAAAUGUCAUCUCCACCCCAAAGUGAACAUGGGUUGCAUGUAACAGGCUUGUUUACUCAGCAUGCAUGCAGCACGAUCCCUUCAUGAAUAUUCAGAGCUCCUCCUAUUCCCUGUUGAAUAUGCAUAUGUGGCCCACCAGAUCAACAUAAAUCCCUGUUCCCCCCUCCCCUCCCUGGAAACCUACUUUUCGGUUUCAGCAGGAGGGUAUGCCUCCCAGUCUGUGGGAAUGGCCACCUUGCAGGCUGUAACCAUUUAUAAAAAAUAAAAUCUCCCUUCUAAAUUUAUAAAUUGUGUGAUUUUUCAGUUGACAGCUUUCAGUCAGACUUUUCACUGACUGGGAAAAUUCAUUUGCAAUAUAUUUAUUUUAAAAAUGACUCCUCAGCAUACAAAAUUCUUGUGCAAAGAUCACAAGC
RNAcentral lists this long non-coding RNA (701 nucleotides) under Homo sapiens (human). Its description in RNAcentral is "HSALNT0002328". The record is from RNAcentral. Lineage: Eukaryota; Metazoa; Chordata; Mammalia; Primates; Hominidae.